Molecule: ribosomal RNA, 829 nt
Filed under: Clostridioides difficile
Lineage: Bacteria; Bacillati; Bacillota; Clostridia; Peptostreptococcales; Peptostreptococcaceae
Description: partial 23S ribosomal RNA
Rfam family: Bacterial large subunit ribosomal RNA
Source: RNAcentral
UUUAACUGAGCGUUCAGUUACUUGACGUAGACCCGAAACCGGGCGACCUACCCAUGAGCAGGAUGAAGCGAAAGUAAAAUUUCGUGGAGGUCCGAACCCACGAGCGUUGAAAAGCUCGGGGAUGACUUGUGGGUAGCGGUGAAAUUCCAAUCGAGCCCGGAGAUAGCUGGUUCUCCCCGAAAUAGCUUUAGGGCUAGCCUCAAGGUGAGAGAUACGGAGGUAGAGCACUGAAUGUCCUAGGGGGUAUUGCACCUACCGAAGACUAUCAAACUCCGAAUGCCGUCAUCUUAUACUUGGGAGUCAGACUGUGGGUGAUAAGAUUCAUAGUCGAAAGGGCAACAGCCCAGAUCGUCAGCUAAGGUCCCUAAAUGUAAGUUAAGUGGUAAAGGAUGUGGGAUUGCACAGACAACCAGGAUGUUGGCUUAGAAGCAGCCACUCAUUCAAAGAGUGCGUAAUAGCUCACUGGUCGAGUGAUCCUGCGCCGAAGAUUUCCGGGGCUAAAACUUACUACCGAAGCUACGGCAUCAGUAAUGAUGGGUAGGGGAGCUUCCCAUACGGGUUGAAGCAUGACCGUAAGGACAUGUGGACAGUAUGGGAGUGAGAAUGUUGGCAUGAGUAGCGAGAUGUGGGUGAGAAUCCCACAGGCCGUAAACCCAAGGUUUCCAGGGGAAGGUUCGUCCGCCCUGGGUUAGUCGGGACCUAAGCUGAGGCCGAAAGGCGUAGGUGAUGGACAACAGGUUGAUAUUCCUGUACUACCGAUAACCGUUUGAGAGAAGGGAUGACACAGUAGGAUAAGCUAAGCACACUGUUGGUUAUGUGUGCCCAAGCA